CCUGGCUCAGGAUGAACGCUAGCUACAGGCUUAACACAUGCAAGUCGAGGGGAAACGACAUCGAAAGCUUGCUUUUGAUGGGCKUCGACCGGSSCMCGGGGUGAGUAACGCGUAUCCMACCUUGCCCAUCAYUUGGGGAUAMCCUUGCGAAAGUAAGACUAAUACCCAAUGAUAUCUYUAGAAGMCAUCUGAAGGAGAUUAAAGAUUUAUCGGUGAUGGAUGGGGAUGCGUCUGAUUAGCUUGUUGGCGGGGUAACGGCCCACCAAGGCUACGAUCAGUAGGGGUUYUGAGAGGAAGGUCCCCCACAUUGGAACUGAGACACGGUCCAAACUCCUACGGGAGGCAGCAGUGAGGAAUAUUGGUCAAUGGGCGAGAGCCUGAACCAGCCAAGUAGCGUGCAGGAUGACGGCCCUAUGGGUUGUAAACUGCUUUUAUAAGGGAAUAAAGUGAGUCUCGUGAGACUUUUUGCAUGUACCUUAUGAAUAAGGACCGGCUAAUUCCGUGCCAGCAGCCGCGGUAAUACGGAAGGUCCGGGCGUUAUCCGGAUUUAUUGGGUUUAAAGGGAGCGUAGGCCGGAGAUUAAGCGUGUUGUGAAAUGUAGAUGCUCAACGUSUGCACUGCAGCGCGAACUGGUUUCCUUGAGUACGCACAAAGUGGGCGGAAUUCGUGGUGUAGCGGUGAAAUGCUUARAUAUCACGAARAACUCCGAUUGCGAAGGCAGCUCACUGGAGCGCAACUGACGCUGAAGCUCGAAAGUGCGGGUAUCGAACAGGAUUAGAUACCCCUGGUAGUCCGCACGGGUAAACRAUGGGAUGCCCGCUGUUUGGUSUGAAAUAGGGUCAGCGGCCAAGCGAAAGCAUUAAGCAUCCCACCUGGGGAGUACGCCGGCAACGGUGAAACUCAAAGAAAUUGACGG
This 916-nucleotide ribosomal RNA is filed under the name uncultured bacterium. Its description in RNAcentral is "bacterial SSU rRNA". It matches the Rfam family "Bacterial small subunit ribosomal RNA", at positions 18 to 916 of the family's 1533-position model. The record is from RNAcentral.